This is a long non-coding RNA of Columba livia (rock pigeon), 12016 nucleotides long. RefSeq lists it as uncharacterized. Lineage: Eukaryota; Metazoa; Chordata; Aves; Columbiformes; Columbidae. The transcript is spliced from 3 exons. The record is from RefSeq and is a predicted model, not a curated record.
AAUAUUACUUCUUUUUCAGCUGCAACUGAGGUGAGCGUUGAGAUUCCCAUCGGAUUUUAAGAGGGAUGUGAUAGACGCCAGAUAACAAUUAUUUGUUAUUCUAUAUUUUACAGUCAGUGGGAAUACCCACAACAGCCCAUUCCCACACAGUCCCAUCUUCCUUCUUGAGGAAAAGUUGUGGAGAAAAUGAACUGGAGAAGAGGAAUGGUAGUGACAGUGCUUGAUAUGCUACUGGAAAGUCCCAGGGUACUGUGGUAGAAGGGACCUGCAUGUUGCAGAAUAAGUAUCCAAUCAUACAUAUUGAUAAAUGCCCAACAUAUUGACAGCGACUUGGAGUCAACAACAGAAAAUGUAGAUCAUGGCUAUUACAUGAAAUUUCUGAGAUUAGACAAUCCUUAAUCUUUCUGAGCAGCUUAAAAUAAUAAAAAUAGAUCAAACAAGUGAAAUGGAGGGUGACAAAUGGCAUGGGUUGAUAUUUUGUUUUCUUGAGAUAGGCAGAAGACGGUAUAAUAGAGGCAUUGGCUGCAUUGAUCUGCUGCCUGUGUUUCACUUCAGUGUAAAUUUACUAGGGAAGAGCAAGAACUAGUAGAUUAAUAUUAAAAUUAUUUCAGCAGUUCAGUUCUCAUGGGCAACUCUUCCUCCACUUGUGAGCCUUGUGGAAUUCAUCAUCCUUAUUCAGCACAAGUUUAAGUCCCACUGACACCAAUACAUUUCGGUAUAUGCUUAAACACUUUGUGGAAGCCUGGUGCAUUUUUCUGAGGAGUUUGACAAAGCUGAGGUUUUCAUCUCUUUAUCCUCUAAGAUACUACAGACAUCAAUAUCAAUGAUACAUGGAGGUCUACUCAGCUUCAAAUAGCAUUCUUAACACGCAGAUUCAGCUUUUUUACCAAUAUCUCACUACAUGAAACACUUGAAUGAGAAGUAGUGCUAGGUCAUGAUAAGCUCAUGUGACACAGGUAUGCUAACAGUAGAAAGAAGAACAGUUUUUUUUUUUUCCUUUUACUCAAAAUUACAUUUUUGUAAAAUGCAUUUCCUGUCUUCCUCCUGAUAUUUCAGCAUAUGCCAGAUUCCUUCCCAGAGUUCAUGGAUUUUUCAAUUGCAAAUUACCUCUGAAACAUGUAUCAUAACUCUUUUACACCUGUGCUUAUUGAUUUACCUAGUUAUGAUAUGCAGUUGGUACUUUGGUUGAUACUAACUGAUUAUUCUAAAAAAAAAAAAAGAAUGUAUAUAGCAAAAAACCCAAGUAAAAUAACUAUUUUCAGAAACAGAUAUUCCUCAAUAUCAGAAAUAUCCCAGUAUACCUGGCCUUUUACUUAUAUCUAUAUUUUUUCUUAAAAAUUUUUAAUAGUGCAAAUGUAACAACCUUAUCAGUAUGUGACAGAAAACUUUUAAAAUGAAAAUAAUAUUUCCAGUGUACAAGUCUUGCCGAGCUGAAUAAUAGUAGAUAUCUUCAUAAAAAUGAUCUUAAACCAAGGAUCUUCAUUGCUGCUCAUUUUCAUUGUCUGACUAUUUUCAUAAACUCAGUAAAUAUAGCUAAGAGAAAUGAUCUUUAUGAAAAGGCAUGAAUAAAGAUGAAAAGAAUUCUCUAGUCAGAGAUCUUCAAUACUACUUACACUUCAUUAUUGGAAGCCUUUAGUUUUGUUCCAGAAAAAAAGAGACAUUAGCAAAGCUUUUAAAUGUUUUUUGAGUCAAACGCAACCCAGUAACACUGACAACAGAGGUGGCAACUCUUGUGCUUGUGCCAUCUGAUAAAGUUAAGGUUACGUGAUAGAUAAGGUUGUAUGGUUCAAGUCCAGCUUUCACAAACUCAAAAAACCCAUUAUUGUAUCAAAUCUGAUUUUUUCUGUUUCUCAGGCUGCCACUUGGUCCCUGUUCUAAGCCCAAACACUUUAGCUGGGGUGAAGUAUUUUACUGGCUUAUCUGGCAGAGAGCAGGGAGCUUCAGUGUUCUGUUCCUGCAGUAGGACGAUUUCAGCUCCUGUGCUGAAGACUUUUAUUUCUCUCUUGCCUUCACCUCUCCAAAUCUGUAUGAUCAUAAACCUGAUAACAUGACACAUUGACCACACCACAGAAGGAUGAAGAUUCUUCAUGACACCUCUGAUCUAUGAAUCCGAGUGUGCUGAACCUACCAAUGUCCAGCCUCAGAGGAGAGCAAAUCAAGCAAAUACACUGACAAUUUGGGAUGGUGGAAGUGGGAGGAGGUAAGAAACAGAUCCCGUUUGAUUUUCAGGACAAAAUGCUGAAGUGUUGUAACUACAUGCAAAGCUAAGAUAAAGCUGUGCUUUUUGUUGAAUUUUUUUCAUGAAGAAAGAAAAGCUGCACUGAAGUUGUUUUGCCAACACUAGCAAAACGUGGCAUCUGGAAGAUGCAUCUGCUUGGUUGACUUUCAGUGUUUGGAGUAACAAAGUUUGGCUGUUGAGAGGAAAGCAUAAAGGCGUUUUUGUAACUCGCACUGUAGAAUUACAGCAAAAAUUAUUGGGUCUAACUUACUUCUACUGCAAAACCCUGAAGAACAACCGAUGUGUUCAUGGAGAUGUAUUUAGUUCGUGGUGAUACAACAGUACUUGUAGAACAGAAAAAAAAUAAUCCCCCAUCCUCACUGGGUAGCUCAUGAAAAUCUCAUUAAUAGAAGAGUUCAACUUUGUCAAGUUCCUUAAGGCAAUUUUUUUUAUGAAGAUAGUGAUUUUUUUACCAGCGACUGAAAGGUGAAUUGCCCUCGGGUAACACAUAUAUGUGGAAAUACCCCAAGAUCUUUUCACGAUGAAGAGACUGUAUUACUGGUCAUGUUUCAUUUUUUUUUUUUUAAUUAGAUUGCAAGUGGGGAAUUUUAAAAGCACUGGCAUAUAACAUAUUACAAAUUGUCCAUCAGAAGUUCUAUGAUAAACUUUCAUUUUUAGGUUGGGUUGUAUAAAAUCUCAUUUCAGACUGAUAGUCAGCAGUAAAAAAAGUUGGAAACCAUGCUGCAGAGGAGCUGAGGUGUAUUUAUCUCGUAUUUCAAAAUCACUUCUCAGAAAUUGAAAUCUUGUAUUUAUGCCAUCAGUAAGGUCUUAAUGUAAGCUUUUGUAACUAAAAAUGAUAGUUCCUGGCAUAGGAACUAAAACCUGAAGGGCUGAAGCUACAAAAAGAAGACGUACAGUAUCAAAUUUUCAGAGAUAUUUAAGCUCCUGACUUCUUAAUUGAAAACAGUGGGAGGCAUCAAUGGAAACACCUGUGGAGAUCUGAGUCCCAAGUACAGUAAAAUUACUGAUAAAAUGCAUUGCCUGGUGCCUGCAGGAGCUUCGGGAACGGUGAGUUAAGCACAGGAAGGGGGAAACACAAAGUCUGAGCAUGCUGCUUAGAGAGCUGCGUGAGCCUGGGUGGACACGGAGAAGUGGGCUGUCUUUACUCUUGAACUCAGACCUAAAAAAGGAUUUGGGAGAAGGUUUCAUAAGACUGCUAAACUGGUAAGCUCACCUCAUAGUCCAAACUGUAUCUUCCUCUGCUACCUUUCUGUCAACUCAGGUGAUCUUCUGGUCCCAUUAUUGAGACCUAUUUGCUUGCUAAACCCACAGAAAUCAAACUUGGGGGAAAAAAAAUGAACUAAUUUCUGUGCAAGUAAAUAGCAUUCAUAUUUAAUGAACUGCACUGGAUUUCUGUGGGAUAAGACAAGUGUUAGAGCCAGAGUGUGUGAAAAGCAUGUAGCUAAAGUAAGGGAGAAGACAGUGAAGCUGAAUUUCAACCUUUUAAGGCAAGAAUCCCGUAGUUCGGGUUGCUUCAUAAUAACUAGCACAGCUGUGGUGCUGCAUUGUGUUUUGUACAACCCAGUGCCUUAGACCUUCUCUUAGUAUGUGACCUCACUUUCCAGUCGAGGAGGAAGAGGGAUCAUGAGCACUCUGACCUCAUGCAUGGGCUGUACAUAUCAGGAAGCCUGGCUUAGCAGGUCACCCUUCGCAUGCAAAAAAGGUGGUUUAUGUCUGCAUCUCCAUUUCCCAGGAGAGCACUGGAGCUGCUGGGCUCUGAAGGUACCUUUCCUCUCAGCCUUUCCUGCUGAAGCCACGUUGAUGUUCAGUGGAGAAUGUGGCAGCGUUGGGGAUGAAGAGGAAGGGCAACCCUGGGUAUGAUGACUCCACCACUGCCCUGGGCAGCCUGUUCCAAUGCCUGACAACCCUUUCCAUGAAGAAUUUUUUCCGAAUAUCCAAUCUGAACCUCCCCUGGUGCAACCUGAGGCCAUUUCCUCUUGUCCUGUCGCUUGGUACUUGGGAGAAGAGACCAACACCCUCCAUGCUACAACCUCCUUUCAGCCAUCAUGAAGUUUUUGUGUUCCUGAAGAAAUGGACCCUGAAGAGAAGCACAUCCAUGGAUCCUUGACUGUAAGAGCCCACUGGAGACAGAGCAGUGUGAAGUAGCUGGAGCAGAGGAUGGAGAGCAGAAUCUUCCUACAAAGAUACAAAGUGGAACCAGGAAAGGUGGAAUCCAUCCAGCAAAGAGGUCCAUGGGCAUGGGACUACAGAGGAAGCAGGAAAAAAGGGUGUGCUGUUAGCAAAAAGGAAAGAUUGACGUCUGGUGAUCAAAGUAGGAGGUCAGCCUGCUUCACAGGCAGCAUUUUCAUUUCUAGGCUUUUAGUUUUAAAGCUGAUGUCAAGAGGACAGAAUAGAAGGCAGGAAUGUGGUUCGCAGAUAUGUGUCUGGGAAAAGAUUCUGCAUGUUCUGAGAAAUAGUUAUUUUGAUGAGCACAUUUUACCAUUAUUGACGAGCACAGCUGGUAUUUGACUGGGAUAUAGCAAAAGUGGUGUCUCCAGAGAUGAUGAUAUGACACCCCUCUAAAAUGGGUUAGAAAAACUUGAAUGCAGUCUUUGAAUGUAGGGAAACUGUACUGAAAUUCAGGAGCUGCAGUUAACUGGAGAUGAGUAAGAUCAAACAGUGUUUUUCCAAGUACGAUAUUCUAUUGUACACAGGGACCUAAUCUAAAUUUGUGGAACAAAUUUCAUGACACAGAACAAUCUUUGCAUAGCCUAACUUAGGGUUUCACACAGAAGUAAUUUUUUUGACAUAUGUGUCAUUAGUUGUUUUAUUUCAUUGUAAAAUGCUGGGAAUUUCAUUAGUGGACAUGUCCAUGCUGAAAUGUAAGACAGACAAAUGGUGUUUACUUGCACUAUUUCUCGCCUACAUAUAACUUCCUUUCCUUGGUUGUGAAUCUCUUGGACAAGUAUGUCUCUCCGUUCUGUGCUGGUAUAAACAGAUCUUCCAACCUUCCUCUCUUCAUUUCCACAUGGAGUUUCAUGUGGUAGAAAAGCAUGAAGCUGGGGAACCUACUAUCUGGCAAGUUCUCUGAGUGCACUGAGUGACAGUGCCUGAAUGUGGGACAGUGUGCCUAUAUGUUUUAUGCUGUGGCUUCAAACACCACUAGGAUUUUGGUGCAAAUCUGCAGAUCAGGACAACAAAAUGUACAAAGUGUGAGGCUUUCUCUUACACAGGCCAGUGUUAUUCAGAAUUUCCUAGGCUAGUGGGAUUACUGUUGCUCUACUUUAUAUUGUUCAUACAUAAGGGAGGAAACAGAUUCCUGAGAGCAGAGCUCAUUCACAGGAACAGACCUGAGAAUUUGUCCCACAUCUCGUUCAAGUUGAGUGUUUUGACUGUGCUAUGUAUCCUCUGAAUUGUAGUGCUAUCUCAGACAACACUGCUCAUCCAAACCCGAGUCUUAUCAAAAUGCAGAUUUGUGUGGACUGACUUAGAAAUUGCUUGUCCUAGUUAGAAAGACUUGAAACAGAAUGAGAAACGGGAAGGAGUGGAGGUGGUAGGUACACCAAGCUGAGAAUACAGAAUAAAUGGUUGGGUAAAACUGAAAAUAAGAAUAGAAGGUGGCAAGAAAUGCCUUGUCUUUACUAAGUAUUUGGUAGUAGUACUUUUAAUAACAGAAAGCUAUGUAAGAGACCACAUGGGGGCAGGGCUAAAUCAAAGAUCAAUAUUUCUGUGAAUAUUCCUGAUAUUUAUGUUGAAAUGGUCAUUUCACAGGAAUGUCUCACCUGUGCCGGCUCUAGUUGUGCAAAUGGGUAAGUAAAGUCUGAUGUAAACACAGGAAGAUCGCUGAUCAGUCUAAAAUAAGUAUGUACCUUCUAGUGAGCUCUGUUUGAUUAGAGAUCCUCUCUGAAACUUCUACAUGGUUUUUUUCAAUGCAGCAUAUGCUCUAGUCAUUGGUCUCUGUCUAGUGUAGGAAGCAGAGAUCAUGCUAGACUAGAUCAUGCUUUUGCCAAGAAAGUUUGGACCAGAUGAUCCUUGUGGUCCCUUCCAACCUGGUAGUCUAUGGUUCUAUGAUUCUGUGAUUUCUUUGCCUGGCUUUGGCUGUCCAUAAAAAAUGGCUGAUUGACAUAAUCAAAUUGAGUUUCCAUAGCCCACUGGAACUUCAUGGCAUAUAUGGCACAAAAAAAUUUGAUACGAUAUGAAAGUAGUAAGAAAAAAUAUAAUUUGAUAGUACAUACACUAGGGAUUGCAGAUUUGUGGAGCUCUAGAAAUUGAGCCCUCAGGAUUGAAACAAGAGAUAUUGAUUCUUGAGAAUUAUACUGUGUGAUGUUUGAAGACAAGUUACCAUCAUUCGAGUUUGUAGGAAGUGAAUAUUAAUUCCCCAGAUUUAUUGUUGGAGGCACAGUGUAUGUUAAUGAACUAACAAAGAAUACAUAACAUGAAACCUGAUGCUGUAGGCUUUCCAUAACACAACAAACUGACUAAAUCCAGCCCCCUGAGGCUAUUUGGAUUUUAAGGGAUUAAAAAUUUUGGCUAAGGGUAUUCAUAUUAUGAGUCCUUUUAAUUGCUGUUUCUGUAGCUUUUUUGUGCUCAAUGUGCAUUAACCUGUAAUAACUAGGGAUAUAUACAUUCUACGGCUGUGGUCCUCACUAAAAAGUCUAAUAUGUGGUUUAAAUCACCAACACAAGGCUAGUGGCCCGGAGGCUAAAUCCUUAACCUGUACCAACUCCUUAAGGGUCGCAGGUGAUUACACAGGCUUGUAGAUAGAGCACAUGCACAGUGGAGAGUGCUGCUCCCUUAAUCAGCUUCAUGCAUUGUAUUACUUAAUUGAAAAUGCUAAUUACAUAACUGUUAAAUUGUUAGUAAUCAGGAAUCAGUGUGUCAUUAAUCUGAAAUUGGUAUAAUUGCAGGAUGCACAAGUGUGGGAUUUCGUUGGUGAGGCUGAACAAUUAAUUUAAUUUCCUAAUGACAAAUGUGUCAUAAAUUGUUAUUAUACAAAUAAUAAUUAAGUGCAAAAGUAUUUUUCUUUGAUUUCAAUCAUAUUUAUUUACUUUUUAGACAAGCAAAAUACUUGAGAACUUUUUUUUUUUUUUAAUAGUUUUUCUGAAUUUCAGAUAUAAACAUAUCCACGACUAUUUUACCCCAGCAUGGGUUUUUCCUAGGGCUGUCCUAGCUUCAGAAAGAAAGAGGGAAGCAAAAUAAUCAGCGCUUCCUUACAAAUGGAGCAAGACUCUCUGCUGGGCCCAGUCAGCCAAGUUGCAUUACCAAAUGCAUCUAGGUUAUAGAAACUCAGUCCUGGUCCUUUUCUUAUACAGGAAUUCAGUAUCCCUUUUAGGUGCAAAAAAUCCUGUCUAUGGACUAGGACUCAGUCCAAGUCUCUGUGGGUGUUUAGUGCUUGUCCUUGUUGCACAUACUUUAGAAGUGGUAGUUAUUAAUAUGAUUUUUCUAUGGAGGAAAGUGAGUGCACAUCUGGCUACUUAAUACAUGAUUCUCUGUGCUACAUUCCUUUGGGGGGACAAACAGUUAAGUUGGAGGUAAUUUUCUUAAUUUUGUAAACAUUUUUGUGAUUUAUAUACCUUGUUUGGGCAUGUGCAACAAUUCUUUAUUUCGAGGGGUAAGCAAAGCUUGGCCUUACUGCGCACUGGUUGCAUCCAUCAGAGGACAGUGAAAUAUCACUGGUUUUACUAGCUGACUUUGCAAUGCUUCGGUAUUAAUUUUCAGAACAGCACCUCUGAUUCACACCUCAGCUUCCCACCCCCUCCUUCUGCCAAGGUCUGGUUUGUCCAAACUGAACUUGUGCCCUUUGCUAUGAAAACCAAGAAAGGGAGAUAUGGCAAGUUUCAUGUGGGUCCGGGGAUCUCAAUGGCUUGAAGUCUCUUUGCUAGGUAUGAAAUGUUUUCUCUCUCUACCUAGGAAGAUGCCAUCACAUCUGCGGAGGUACCGCAAUGCUCAAUAUGCCCUGGAGACCAAGGGUGUCACGUUAUAUUCAUCUCAUCAAAGCAGAACAGAGACGCACAAAGUGGCAAGAAUCAAACCUAUUUGCAAUAGCUUUUUAAUUCCUCUGACUCCUGUGGAAAAUCUAGUGCAUCACUGGAUAGGCAAGUUUGACUGUAUCUCUUCAUUCCUUAGCUAUUGCUUUUACGCUUACUGUGGUUUGUUUCCGAAGAGGUUAUACACUUCUAUAAGCCAGGUGAACAUAUAUGUGGAUGUGUCCAUUAAUAUUGCACCACACUGCAAUUUCUACUUCCAAUUUCAUCAGAAAAACAGAAUAUAAACAUGCACAUGUAAAUUCAGUCUUGUUCAUUGUUCAGCCUCAAGCCACAGUGGAGUAAACUUUCCAUGCAGCAUGUGAGAAAUUACGCAUACCAGCAGCUGUGAACAUCUAAUUUCCCCUGCAGGGUGUUGACAAUGUUCUCCAUUGUAAUGUGCUUCACUAAUUACAUACUGCACUGGCCAUGGAAGCCUUCCACUAUCCCAUGGCAGAAUAGUAGGAUUCCUACAGCUUUUUCAUUUAAUUGAAAGUGAGUAUGAGAUACCAUUUCUAUUGUCUUCUGGGAUCCAGUGAGGCUUCUACAAACUGCAGAAUUUUAGACAACUGGUUAAUACUAUGUUAUAUCAUUAGCUAGCCCUUGCUUUCAUUUGGAAACAACAACAACAAAACCCCAAAGAACAACAAAACAACCAAACUCCAAAUAAAAUCAAAGAGAAUGUUCUGUAGGCAGGCUUCUACAGAGAUGUGUCAUGCUGUCACUUAUAAAUUAGAUGGAAAAAGGGGUUGCCCUGCCAUUGCUCAAAAUUAAAACUGAAUAACAAGAAAAAACCCAAACCACAAAAUAAAACAAUGAGUAACUUCCUGGAGGGUUAGGAGGGUUUUUUCAGCAUUGCAAUACAGCUUAUUGAAUAAUUCUUUUGUAUUUAACCAAGAGUGAUUGUUUCACUGGAUAUACUAUGCUGUUUAGGUUCAAAAUGUGUUUUCACUUGCAUUAGUUAGUGCCUAAUCUUCCUACCUGUGAAUUAGCUUUGAGAAAAAUAGGAUUAAACAUGCAAAAAGUAGUCCUGAUUAGAAAAGAAAAAGAGAAAUCAAGCUUUCUGUAUAAAAAUAUAGUACAUUCCUAUACUUUAUAUUUUUAAUGGGUUUAUGUUGCACUGUGUAAAUUUAUAAUAAGUGUCUUCAAGCGGAGUCAGGCGAGAACAGACUGGAACACAUGGAGUACAGUGGGUCUUAAUAGGGAAUGUGCUUUAGCUGUGUUUGUACCUCUGUGAAAUGGAGGCACUGAAGCUUGCACUGCUCUGCAUCUCUUUCUGGCAGUGCAGGGUGUUUGAAGUGCCAAUUUUUGAAUAUACAGCAAAUAAAACAAGGUGCAUGGAGGUUACUUUAAAUUGCAAGCCUGUGGAGCUGAAGACGAUGUUUAUUUUUUGUCUGUGCUGAACUAAAAAGAGAUUUGCUAGAGAAGCUGUUCUGUGAUAGCAGCCAGGAGGCAAAGGUGAAUUUCACCGAGAAGAAUCUAAGUAAGAAGGAUGAGAGGGGCUCCAUCAAACAAGAUGAGCACGAGUUGCAUAACUAAGGAGAGAGCAGGGUUUCUUGCCAGCAGAGACUAGGUGAUACUUGUUUGUUACAUUUUUGUGAAUAUUUGAAAUUUUGUCAGGUGGGAAGGAGAGAAUUUUUAUUUCACAGCAUUAGCCGAAUACCUAUUUAUAUUCAUAGAUGUGGGAGUUUCAGGCAAUGCAGGUACAUGACUUUGACUGGGAUUUCUUUGAAGACUUUUAGACUUCUGCUUGUUUCAUAUUUGUCCCUCAAAAGAAGUUAAAUACUUUGAGCACUUGAUUCUGUGAGUUUGUUGUCAGUUGGGUCUUUUUGAAACAAAUUCUGCCAUUUACAAGGACAAGUGGAAUAGCUUAAAUGAAAGAAUAUUUAAAAAACCUUGAAAUAAAUUACUUCUGCAUUGGAGAGAUGUUUUUAGAAGCAUCAAGAUGAGUUAAUCUGACAAGAAUGCUAAGGUUUUAAUAUGCUAGUUUAUAUGCUUGAGGCACUCAGUAAUCAAAUGCCCGAGUACCGUAUGUACUGACAUUUACAAAUCACAAACAGAUUUAUAUAUUAUGAUUCCAGAACUUUAUCACAGCAAAAUCACACUCCGCUAUUUAAAACAGAUGACAGAAGUAGAAUUAAAGAUUCACACUUAUGAGAAUGUAAGCAGAUGUCUAGUGUUUAUUAUAUGGGACAGACAGUAAAAGAGGAAUGCAUUUAAAAUGCUCAAAUAGUCUUCUGAAUAAGGUGCAAACUGGAUGGCUACCCAGAAGAUUUAUACUGGGCAAGUCACUUUACCUCUCUGUUUUCCUCCUAUCAUGGAAUAAUUAUUCUUUUUCUGCUAUUCUUCAGUGUUCUUGCCCAUUUAGGCUGUGGGUUAUCCUGUGUAGGAAUUAAAGCUGCUUCAGAAUUUUUUCUUUUGAAUUAUUGGAUUUCUUAAGAAGCAACUCCUGUUCCCCCUUAAAACAUCCCUGAUUUGUCAAAAGUGAAAAUAUCUGGAAAAGCCAGCCCUACCUGAAACUGUGCAAGUUUGAAUAAUCUUGUUUUAGGAAAGCAAUCUCAGGACAGAAGGUUUCUAAAGUUGGGUGAUGUCUCCCAGAGCUGUCAUGAUGUUCUGAGCUAAGACAUUGAACUGUGAUAAGUGGGAGAACGGCACGGCAGAAAAUGAAUCCUGGAUUUCCUACAACCUGAGCAAACAUCCUCACACUGGACUCUCAAGGAAUCUGAGAUUUCUUUUUUCUUUUAUGGCAUGUCUGUGAUACAUGUGAAUAUUCGAGAGCUGUGUGUGGUUCUUGUUUAACACACACAGGGAGCACAGUCACCGCUCAAAGAACAAUGCUGACUCUCCUUUUUUGCAAUUAAGGUGUUAUUUAGUUAAGAAUUUAGUCUGCUGUGAAAUAAUAAACAUAAUAUGAACUAAUAUAAUCCUAAAAAUCAUGGAUAAGAUGUUUCUAAAUGGCUUAGUGUUGAGCAGUCUGUGGCAUCUAUGUGGUAGCACAUCCUGAGAGCAUUCAGUGUUGGCUUGGCUGGUGUGGAAACAUAGAAAGUUUCAUUUUCAACUAACGGAAUGGAUAGGCAUAAUAUUUAAGUCAAGCACUUAGAUGACAGCAUGAUUUCUGUGAAUUUAAAGGAGUUAAUUAAGUGAACAUGUGAGUGAGCAGUUGCAAUAACGGGAGUUCUGCACUAACAUUCAAGCUUCAUGUCACAGAGUUGUACCAUUCAGCCAAAUGCAUUCCAGUUUUGGCUCUACUGAUCUCAUUCUUUCUUGAGAUGUUCUCAGCACCUCGCUGCCACAGCUAUGAACACCACCAAUUAUGAAAUCUACAGCACUUAAAAUACUGCUAACAUUUUCCUAGUAAUGGAAGAAAUUAAGGUUUUUAUAUAAGCAGUGGGCGUUUUUUUGUUUUUUCUUUUACUUUGGCAGAUAUUCUCUAUCAGUCCUUUCCUACAGUAACUCAGUUUUAGUAUUUUGAAAGAAUUUUGAUGUAUUCUGAAAGAUUCUGCUCUCCUGAGAAUUGCAAAACAUUAUUUCAAAUGAAAUAAAAAAACCUAUCUGUACUCCUGGCAGAUGGGCCCAUCAGCAGUCAUAAAAAAAAGAAAUUAUAAUAAUUAUUAUUGCUAUAUAAGAUAUUAUAGCAGAAUUCCCAUCUAAAAAAAUAUUUAAGAUCUCAGUGCAAGAGUGGAAACACAGUGCACUUGAUAUCAUUUAAACCAAUAGAGAACAUACCUGCAAGAUAGACAGAAACAAUAAAAGCGCAGACUGUUCAUUUGCUUCA